This 1700-nucleotide small RNA is filed under the name Arabidopsis thaliana (thale cress). RNAcentral describes it as "ATSL167440". The record is from RNAcentral. Lineage: Eukaryota; Viridiplantae; Streptophyta; Magnoliopsida; Brassicales; Brassicaceae.
AUACUUAUAGCAAAAUAUUCUGAAACCCUAAUACUCAAAACGACUCAGUAUUGGGACGGAUUAAGAACUGUACUCGACCCAGGUGGUCGAGUGUGUGGUCGAGUGAAUAGCUGGAGUCUUCUUUUCUUCCUUGUGCUUGAGUGUCUGGUUGAGUGCGGAAUGGAGAAGACUCUGAAGCUCGCCAUCGAGUAUGUAGUCGAGUGGUGGUGAUGGUGAUACUCGACUUCCAGGUAGAGUGGUGUGAUCGAGUGAUGAUCAGGUAAUGGAGGUGAAGACACUCGACCUCGGGGUCGAGUGAAGUGAACGAGUGAUUGUUAGGUGGUAGAGGUGAAGACACUCGACCAGGGGGACGAGUGAUGAGAUGAAAUCGAGAAGUCCCCUACUCGACCUGGGGGUCGAGUGGUCUUUGAAGGUCUUGAAGCUUCUACUCGACCUUGGGGUCGAGUGGUUUGACAUGAUCAAGUCUGCUUGGUUUGACAUGAUCAAGUCCGCUUCUUCCAAUUAGCUCGUCAACAACUCCAAAUCACCUGAAAUCAACACAAAUAUGCAACAUGAAUGCAAAACUAUCCUAAACAUACAAAGUGAUGACAAAUGAUGAGAAAUGAUAUAAAACAGUGAUGAUAUGAGGCUAAAGUGAUGACAAAUGGAUGCUCAAAACAUGCAAAAUACACACUUAUCAACUCCCCCAAACUUAGUCUUUGCUUGCCUUCAAGCAAACAAUUAAGAACAAGCUGGAGGUGAGGUUUGAAAGCGGGGACUCAGAGCCAAAGCACCAGAUAAACCAGAUGAAAUCAAUGUCCAAGUUGAAAGUUCUAAGCUGCAAUAUGAUCGAAUUCUACUCAAAAACGUUAGCCAUGCCUUAUUAUCAAUCAAUCCGACUCAUAUGCUCGACCUACACAUGUUUUCAAAUCUACCAAUCCCCUUAACAUUCAUUUGUUCUAGAACGUGAAUCAAGCAAUGCAUCAUCAAUGAACUCAUUUGGCUAAGGUAAAAGGUCAAGAGACAAAGAUGGUCCCUUAUAGAAUAGGCUUCAGUAACAGGGGAUCUCUCAAAAAAUGAUUAAGCUUUAGUAGAAUGCUAUAGGUAAGUCCCAACCUAUGCAUACAGAGAUAAGGUCCCAUCUACCCAGAGUAUAUCAAAUGAAGCUCUAACGGUAAUCCCAUCUCCAAUCCCAAUAUAAGAACUUAACUCUACCAUUUGCAUUCAUGAAUCUUAUAACCCCUUUUUCUAAUCAUUCUUUUAUUUUCUCUUAACUCUAGGAGAAGCUUUCUAAACACUUUGAUACAUCUAGCGGAUUUGGAUUUCUUUAACAACUAAGGUUCCUGUUUUUAACAUUUUAAAACCGAGGGCUUUUGCCCAUCUUCAAUAGCUAACAAGAACUCUUUCUUUUCUUUACAAAUCGCAAACCUUUUACUAGACUUUUUCUGUUUCUUUAGCUUACUUCACCUGGAGUCUUUAACCUUUUCUUAUCAAUGAAUCAACCCCUUUUCUUCUUUUAAACACAUCCCAACCCAAAGUACAAGCGCCCACCUAGUCCUAUCUAGUCCGGAAAAUGAGAACUAGAACUACAUGAGACACUAUCUCUGUCGUUACGAACCUAACACUUUCUACCAAGCUUAAUCUGAAUAAGACCUCACAAACACUCACAAGUGAUAUAAGGCUUGAAAAAAAGUCUAGGUUUGGGUUCGGGUUAAUUGCUC